CUAAAAGCACUGGCCGUUGACAGUCAGCCACACAUGUGACAGGAAGCAGAGGCAUAUUAAUUACUAUGAAGUGGGGGCUUAUUGUGUUGACGUCUAGCUUCGCUGUCGUUAUCGGUAACAGUGUAAACGAGUGCACUCACCCAAACACGACAUGCUAUGCCCGAGAAGUAUGUACAGGACUGGGUGGAAAAGUUCGGGGCAGGUGUUUUCAAGGAGUCUGCUGCGAGAAAACUUACAGCCACCACAAAAACAUGUCAAGGUAAAAAGAAAACAUGUAUGCAAAAACGCAUUGUCCUUCCACAUCAAGAACUAAAGGUACUUGUAAAGGAAAGGGAAAAGUGUGCUGCAGUGUUCGUACGAAAAACGUCUGCCCCCUGUUUGGUGGAGUCUGCGAACGUAACAAAACACGUUGUCACACACUGCAGAAGGCAAGCAAAUACUGUGGUAAAAAUAAAAAAUGCUGCAUAUAUUUACAAUAGCAAUACAUUACAGCGAUACAUUUUCAUCAUAAAUUCCGAGAGGAUCAUGUUUCUACUGCAUAUUGAACUGCGUGGCAGCCGAGCAGUUUUUGUGCAAUAAAGAGUCCUUGGCACUGA
Molecule: long non-coding RNA, 596 nt
Organism: Rhipicephalus sanguineus (brown dog tick)
Lineage: Eukaryota; Metazoa; Arthropoda; Arachnida; Ixodida; Ixodidae
Exons: 4
Source: RefSeq, a predicted model, not a curated record